Molecule: long non-coding RNA, 446 nt
Organism: Antechinus flavipes (yellow-footed antechinus)
Lineage: Eukaryota; Metazoa; Chordata; Mammalia; Dasyuromorphia; Dasyuridae
Exons: 3
Source: RefSeq, a predicted model, not a curated record
AAAUUGAAUCUUAGAAUUAAUUUACAUUGAACCCCUCAUCUUACAGAUGAAGAAAGUGAAGGCCAAAGAGAUAAAGUGAUUUACUGAAGACUACACUAGUAAUAAGCACCAGAACUAGAAAGUGAAGCCAUCUUCUGAUUCCAAAUGAAGUAUUCUUUCCAUGAUGAGAAACUGAGGCAAACAAGAUAAAAUGAUGGUUAAUAAAUGUCUAAGACCAGAUUUGAAUUAAGGAAGAUGAGCCUUCCCUACUCCAACCCAGCAAUAAACACUGCACCACCUGCUUGCCCUAGCUAGAAAAGGAUGCAACAUUCUCAAGGCCUAAUUCAGCCAUGGAAAACAUGCUCAGCUCGAGCAGAAGCCCAAUGCAAUGCUGUGGAAGCUGCAUACUGAACAAAGAACCAUGUUCUCAACAUCAAGAUUCUAAUAACAUGGAAUAAUCUAGAAAG